AUGGUAACCAGCAGUGGCAUUAUGCCACAUGACCCAGAAGCAGAAGGUUUUGUGAUGCUAGAGGCCCUGAUGGUGGAGAAGACUUGGCUCGCUGAUGUCUGCAAGGAUUCCCGUCUCCUAGGGCCUUUCAUCAACAAGAAGAGGCACAUUUUUCUUUCCCCAAUCAAGACAGACUUUUCAUGGCAGACCAAUUCGGCAGUAUUCUUCCUAGAAGCUCAGUCUGAGACUGGAGUUCCACCCUAAGGCAAGAUUCUACUGCCAACUGUGCAAGAAUCUUCUGAGCAUUUAUAGGAUGUCUCCGACCAAAUGCUCCUACUCCUGGUUGAGCAUCUACACAUUAACCGCUGAUACCGCUCAUGUCUGCAGUGAUGUACUAUUCAUUUUCUCAUGUGCACAUUCUUCAACCUGCAGUCAUCCCAAGACCUGAGCUCCCCUUCUGACAUGACAUAACUGAAUUUGCUUAAGAGUUCAAUACCCAGGUGGGAUAAGGAAAUGUGAUAUCUGAAUGUGACUUUCCUGCUUAUAUUAUCUAGAAAAGGAG
RNAcentral lists this long non-coding RNA (541 nucleotides) under Chinchilla lanigera (long-tailed chinchilla). RNAcentral describes it as "lncRNA (ENSCLAG00000024434.1)". The record is from RNAcentral. Lineage: Eukaryota; Metazoa; Chordata; Mammalia; Rodentia; Chinchillidae.